CCAAUAGCGUAUAUUAAAGUUGUUGCAGUUAAAAAGCUCGUAGUUGAAUUUUAGGCCUGGCCGGAUGGUCCGUCUUUGGCGAGUACUGUUCUGUCGUCGGGUCUAUCCUUCUGGUGAGCCGGGAUGCCCUUUAUUGGGUGUGUCGGGGAACCAGGACCAUUACCUUGAAAAAAUUAGAGUGUUUAAAGCGGGCAUUUGCUUGAAUAGAUUAGCAUGGAAUAAUAGAAUAGGACGUUGGUUCUAUUUUGUUGGUUUUAGGACCACCGUAAUGAUUAAUAGGGAUAGUUGGGGGCAUUAGUAUUCAAUUGUCAUAGGUGAAAUUCUUGGAUUUAUUGAAGACUAACUAUUGCGAAAGCAUUUGCCAAGGAUGUUUUCAUUAAUCAAGAACGAAAGUUAGGGGAUCGAAGACGAUCAGAUACCGUCGUAGUCUUAACCAUAAACUAUGCCGACUAGGAAUCGGGCGACGUUAUUUCAUGACUCGCUCGGCGUCUUAUG
Molecule: unclassified non-coding RNA, 495 nt
Filed under: uncultured Archaeospora
Lineage: Eukaryota; Fungi; Glomeromycota; Glomeromycetes; Archaeosporales; Archaeosporaceae
Description: SSU rRNA
Rfam family: Eukaryotic small subunit ribosomal RNA
Source: RNAcentral